RNAcentral lists this transfer RNA (72 nucleotides) under Actinosynnema sp. ALI-1.44. Its description in RNAcentral is "tRNA-Phe". It matches the Rfam family "tRNA". From Rfam's summary of the family: Transfer RNA (tRNA) molecules are approximately 80 nucleotides in length. Their secondary structure includes four short double-helical elements and three loops (D, anti-codon, and T loops). Further hydrogen bonds mediate the characteristic L-shaped molecular structure. tRNAs have two regions of fundamental functional importance: the anti-codon, which is responsible for specific mRNA codon recognition, and the 3' end, to which the tRNAs corresponding amino acid is attached (by aminoacyl-tRNA synthetases). tRNAs cope with the degeneracy of the genetic code in two manners: having more than one tRNA (with a specific anti-codon) for a particular amino acid; and 'wobble' base-pairing, i.e. permitting non-standard base-pairing at the 3rd anti-codon position. The record is from RNAcentral. Lineage: Bacteria; Bacillati; Actinomycetota; Actinomycetes; Pseudonocardiales; Pseudonocardiaceae.
CGUCCUGUAGCUCAGUUGGCAGAGCACCCGUUUGAAGCGCGGGUGGCCCAGGUUCGAGUCCUGGCGGGACGG